AGCCACAGCCACAGUAACGCCAGAUCUGAGCUUUGUCUGCGACCUACACUGCAGCUUGUGGCAAUGCUGGAUCCUUAACCCACUGAAUGAGGCCAGAGAUCGAACCCACAUCCUCAUGGGUACUAGUCAGAUUCUUAACCCUCUGAGCCACAACAGGAACUCUUGAUUUUUAUCAGCUAUUAUCAACAUGGCAUGAACUGAUUUAUGAGAAGAACUAGCCAGUCUUCCAACAAAUCCCUGAGGUAUUGCUCUUGGAUGGAGAGUCACCUUGCUCAAGAUCACACCCCCUUCCCUGAAGUGAUCCAUCUCCAGUGACUGGCCAAGGACAAGACAAAAAUCUUGGCAUCUUGCCUCAAGAUGGGACAACUCGGAAGGUUUCGUGCCUGUCCCAUGGUUCUCCCUGGCAUCAGCUGAGUACUUUGUUGUGCCUGUAUCUCAGCCCAGCUUCCUCCUUCCCUGGUCCUGCACCCUCACUCCCCCACAGGGGUCCCUCCAGAAUAUGCUAUCCUAUCAACUCCUCAUACAUGAAUCUUAUCCCAGACUCAGAAUUCCAAGAAACUUGACCUGGGACACUGUCCUUCUUUUUUCUCUGAGCUUCUUCUUCAUGAUUAAAGAUGAAUAUUAUCGUAGGUGAUUGGUACUCACACAGCAUGCAUGGCAAAGUAAAGUUUUAAAGUAAAAAUUAUUCUUUAACUGCUAAAGCCUCUAAAUGUCCUGAGAAUUUCCACUCAAUAAUUUCCACAAAUCUCCAAAUUUCUUCUCAUCCUCGUAUAAUUAAAAAUGCCAUUGUCAAAGCCAUGUCAUAGAAAUAAGAAACUAUUCUUAUUAACUUGGUUAUUUUCAGUUAUAAUUAAUGGAUUUGCAAGAGGUCUUCACUGCUAAACUACACUAUUUGAUUCUUCUACUGCUUUUCAUUACAAAUGUGCAUUAUUUCAUCAAGGUUUAAAUUUAAAUCUAUUUCUAUGGUCUGGCCUUUUGUUCCUUUUAUUAUUUUUGAUAGAAAAAGUAUUUUCAAGUUCAGAACAACUGACUUUGAGAUAAACUUUGGAACCCAUCCUGUCUGUAAGUGGGAGUUUGUGAUCACAUGGAAUAAUUGGCUUUGGAAACAGAGAGAAGCCUGACCGCAUUUCAGGACUUGAAACAACCUUCAUGCUUCCUUGAUGAGGCAGGUGCCCAGACGCCUCGCUUUAUAAUAGCAGCUAGGCAGUCACAGUUUGAUUUCUCAACCUCAGGUCACUGCUUGGCCUACACCCAUACUGACCAUCUGAAUAGUCUGGCCACUUACAGGGCUAUUAGACAGCAUGGCCACAUGUGGAAUGGGCAGUGAUUCUUUCCUACAUAUGGGGCAAGUGAGGCCACUAAAUUCAUCCAUCCAAAACUCUCCCCACUCCUUUUUUUGGAAGUGAAGUAAGGCUGAGCAUUCCAUUUAAAUUUUUAGUGAUUUAAAAAUGUUUUAAUUAACAGCACUGUGUGAGGGACCAGAAUUAUAAAUUGUUUAGUCCAGAGCCAGAGUUCCCAUUGUGGCUCAGCAUGUUAAGGACUGGUGCUGCCACAAGCUGCAGCAUAGGUCACAGACAUGGCUCAGAUCCAGUACUGUCAUGGCUGAAGUAUAAGCCUCAGCAGCAGCUCCAAUUCGACCCCUAGCCCAGGAACUUCCGGAAGCCACAGGUGCAGCCAUAAAAAAUUAAAAACAAAAGACAAGUCUAGAGCUUACCCAUUCACAUGAGAGCAAAGACUCAAAUUAUAACUUCAAAGACACAUCAGCCAAACUAAAUGAGAUGAAAAAAACUGUUGUAUACAAAUACACCAAAUACAAAAAGAAGGUAGAUUUCUAGUCACUAAUUGAUAAAGAAUGGGUAACCAAAGCUGCUUUCUUCAAACGUUCACAAGGAUGAAGAGCAGAACCAAAGCAUCCUAUGAUAGAGUCACUGAUAUGAAGAACUAUUCAACUGCUAAGGGAGUCUCAGAAGCAUUAGCUGGAAAGUGGAAGCCACCCCAGGCAAGAGAGGGACACCCAGAGUGGCAGCAGGGUCUGGAACUGUCCCAGUU
RNAcentral lists this long non-coding RNA (2049 nucleotides) under Sus scrofa (pig). RNAcentral describes it as "lncRNA (ENSSSCG00015050238.1)". Lineage: Eukaryota; Metazoa; Chordata; Mammalia; Artiodactyla; Suidae. The record is from RNAcentral.